RNAcentral lists this ribosomal RNA (258 nucleotides) under uncultured bacterium. Its description in RNAcentral is "partial 16S ribosomal RNA". It matches the Rfam family "Bacterial small subunit ribosomal RNA", at positions 524 to 776 of the family's 1533-position model. The record is from RNAcentral.
UACGGAGGGUGCGAGCGUUGUCCGGAAUCAUUGGGCGUAAAGGGCGCGUAGGUGGCCACUUCAAGCGUGCGGUGAAAGUCGGGGGCUCAACCCCUGAUCGGCCGUGCGAACUGGGGGGCUGGAGCACUGUAGAGGCAGGCGGAAUUCCGGGUGUGAGCGGUGGAAUGCGUAGGAGAUCCGGAAGAACACCGGUGGCGAAGGCGGCCUGCUGGGCAGUUUUGCUGACACUGAGGCGCGACAGCGUGGGGAGCAAACAGG